GAAUUGGUAGACGCUACGGACUUGAAAAUCCGUUGGCUUUAUUGACCGUGAGGGUUCAAGUCCCUCUACCCCCA
RNAcentral lists this transfer RNA (74 nucleotides) under Leucoloma schwaneckeanum. Its description in RNAcentral is "partial tRNA-Leu". It matches the Rfam family "tRNA", at positions 12 to 71 of the family's 71-position model. Rfam says of the family: Transfer RNA (tRNA) molecules are approximately 80 nucleotides in length. Their secondary structure includes four short double-helical elements and three loops (D, anti-codon, and T loops). The record is from RNAcentral. Lineage: Eukaryota; Viridiplantae; Streptophyta; Bryopsida; Dicranales; Dicranaceae.